Molecule: transfer RNA, 66 nt
Filed under: Tettigarcta crinita (hairy cicada)
Lineage: Eukaryota; Metazoa; Arthropoda; Insecta; Hemiptera; Tettigarctidae
Description: tRNA-Trp
Source: RNAcentral
AAGGUUUUAAGUUAAUUAAAACUAUUAGCCUUCAAAGUUGAAAAUAUAGAUAUAUUGUAAGCCUUA